AUUAAGAUUUUAGAUGAUUAUUAUAUUGGCCCGUCAUUUCUCUUGCGCUCCUACUUCUUUUGGUGGUGUGGUGCGACUCCACGUGGCAACAAAUUGAGGAUUAUUGUAGUAACAAGAACGUAUAAACCCAAAGAGCACGCCCUACUCUCUGUGCGUAAUGACGCACUUGCGCAGGAGCAAUGUCACAGUCGUAACACUGAGACAGCGCCACCGAUUUAUUCUAAACUGAAUUAUAAUUGUUAUAAACCACAGAUACGGAUGUUCAUCCUUAUUCCAACAACGAUUUGCAUAACAUUUCCAAUCCCUUGUGAGGGUCGUGUAGUGGGGCCCGUGAGCGGCGGAUGAGGCUGGGGUCCAGCUUCAGCGGCGCCCUGCAGCCUCCCAAUGGUCUCCCCCACUAUGAAGGCACUGGUGGACGCUGUGUGGGCGGUGUGGAGCAUCGGUGCCUCCGUCUAUGACUACAUCCACACCAGCGCCAUGGAGGAGCGCAUCCACACGCUGGAGACCGUCAUCACCAUUCACCAGUGUGUCAUCGCAGCGCUGACCGCUGGAGUGGUGGUGCUCUUCACCUACAUACUGUUGAGGAAGCACUGAGGGGGAGUGAGGAAGGAGAAGCCACGCAGGGCCCAGGAGGCUAGUUUUGAGGACAACACAGGAUUACCAGAGUGAUCAGAAGCAUUGAGAGUGUGGGUCUGGAAAGUCAUCCAGAGCCCUGGAGAGGCCUACCGGCCUACAUGGAUUAGAUUGAGGAGGACUUGAUUAAUAAGGGAUUUUGGCUACUAGAACAGUUUUUGGCUAUUUGGCCUUUAUUUCGGCUGCCAAUUGUACCAUUCUACUGCGGGGGUGUUGCUGGACACUGUGUCUCAGGGAGUCAAUGGUUUCACUCACUUUGCACCCAUGGAAGAUGAAGACAUGGGCAGAAAUGGGCAAAAGAUGCAUGAAAAUGUAUCUUUUUACAAAUACAAGUUACUUUAAAGACCAAUGUAUCAAACUAAAAUACAAAAUACUUUUGUGAAGAAUUGUAUUUAGAAUGAUUAAUUCUUUAAUACAAAAUACAUUUGCAUGUACAUGCCUUCACUACAACAAUAUUCUUAGUAACAGAAACAAAAAAACAUUUAACUUGCUAUGACUGUAAUAUGUGGUUGUUUAUCUACCUUGGUUGAAUGCACUGACUAAGUCACUGUGGAUAAAUGUCUGCUAAAUGACCUAAAUGUAAAAAUGUAAUAAUUGCAAAGCACACUUGGUAUUAUUAUUGGCCUUAUUUUGUGGGCAGAGCUCAUCAAUAAUACCCAGCAUGCUUUGCAGGUGUACAUUUGUACAUUUACAUGUUGUUCAUUCAGCAGACACUCAUAUCAUACCAUAGUGCCGUGACUUCUGAUACCAAUGCAGGGUGAAAGGGGGCCUCCAAAUGUUGAACCGCUAUAAAAUAAAAAGGAUAUAGAAAAUGUAUUUUGAAAAUA
This is a long non-coding RNA of Oncorhynchus tshawytscha (Chinook salmon), 1460 nucleotides long. RefSeq lists it as uncharacterized. The transcript is spliced from 2 exons. Lineage: Eukaryota; Metazoa; Chordata; Actinopteri; Salmoniformes; Salmonidae. The record is from RefSeq and is a predicted model, not a curated record.